GCUUCCGUAGUUAAAUGGAUAUAACCGCCCCCUCCUAAGGGGCAAUUGCGAGUUCGAUUCUCGCCGGGAGUACCA
Molecule: transfer RNA, 75 nt
Filed under: Clostridiales bacterium
Lineage: Bacteria; Bacillati; Bacillota; Clostridia; Eubacteriales
Also listed under: 1 other name
Description: tRNA-Arg
Rfam family: tRNA
About the family: Transfer RNA (tRNA) molecules are approximately 80 nucleotides in length. Their secondary structure includes four short double-helical elements and three loops (D, anti-codon, and T loops).
Source: RNAcentral